UUCGCCCUUAGAGUUUGAUCCUGGCUCAGGACGAACGCUGGCGGCGCGCCUAACACAUGCAAGUCGAACGAGAGAUGAGGAGCUUGCUCUUCAAAUCGAGUGGCGAACGGGUGAGUAACGCGCGAGGAACCUGCCUCAAAGAGGGGGACAACAGUUGGAAACGACUGCUAAUACCGCAUAAGCCCACGGCUCGGCAUCGAGCAGAGGGAAAAGGAGCAAUCCGCUUUGAGAUGGCCUCGCGUCCGAUUAGCUAGUUGGUGAGGUAACGGCCCACCAAGGCGACGAUCGGUAGCCGGACUGAGAGGUUGAACGGCCACAUUGGGACUGAGACACGGCCCAGACUCCUACGGGAGGCAGCAGUGGGGAAUAUUGCACAAUGGGGGAAACCCUGAUGCAGCGACGCCGCGUGGAGGAAGAAGGUCUUCGGAUUGUAAACUCCUGUUGUUGAGGAAGAUAAUGACGGUACUCAACAAGGAAGUGACGGCUAACUACGUGCCAGCAGCCGCGGUAAAACGUAGGUCACAAGCGUUGUCCGGAAUUACUGGGUGUAAAGGGAGCGCAGGCGGGAGAACAAGUUGGAAGUGAAAUCCAUGGGCUCAACCCAUGAACUGCUUUCAAAACUGUUUUUCUUGAGUAGUGCAGAGGUAGGCGGAAUUCCCGGUGUAGCGGUGGAAUGCGUAGAUAUCGGGAGGAGCACCAGUGGCGAAGGCGGCCUACUGGGCACCAACUGACGCUGAGGCUCGAAAGUGUGGGUAGCAAACAGGAUUAGAUACCCUGGUAGUCCACACCGUAAACGAUGAUUACUAGGUGUUGGAGGAUUGACCCCUUCAGUGCCGCAGUUAACACAAUAAGUAAUCCACCUGGGGAGUACGACCGCAAGGUUGAAACUCAAAGGAAUUGACGGGGGCCCGCACAAGCAGUGGAGUAUGUGGUUUAAUUCGACGCAACGCGAAGAACCUUACCAAGUCUUGACAUCCCUUGACGAUACUGGAAACAGUAUUUCUCUUCGGAGCAAGGAGACAGGUGGUGCAUGGUUGUCGUCAGCUCGUGUCGUGAGAUGUUGGGUUAAGUCCCGCAACGAGCGCAACCCUUAUUGCCAGUUACUACGUUAAGAGGACUCUGGCGAGACUGCCGUUGACAAAAUGGAGGAAGGUGGGGAUGACGUCAAAUCAUCAUGCCCCUUAUGACCAGGGCUACACACGUGCUACAAUGGCGUAAACAAAGGGAAGCAGAGCCGCGAGGCCGAGCAAAUCUCAAAAAUAACGUCUCAGUUCGGAUUGUAGUCUGCAACUCGACUACAUGAAGCUGGAAUCGCUAGUAAUCGCAGAUCAGAAUGCUGCGGUGAAUACGUUCCCGGGUCUUGCACACACCGCCCGUCA
RNAcentral lists this ribosomal RNA (1379 nucleotides) under uncultured bacterium. RNAcentral's name for it is "16S ribosomal RNA". It matches the Rfam family "Bacterial small subunit ribosomal RNA". The record is from RNAcentral.